Molecule: non-coding RNA, 1266 nt
Organism: Podarcis lilfordi (Lilford's wall lizard)
Lineage: Eukaryota; Metazoa; Chordata; Lepidosauria; Squamata; Lacertidae
Source: the annotation of a GenBank genome assembly
GAAGAGGAGAGAGGAGAGAGAAACAGUGGGCAAAGAAAGACACGGAGCCCCGACCUUGCUGCUGCUGCUGCUGCUGUCCCCAACGCCGCCACUGAGAAGGGAAAGGAGGAGAGGUAGGAAAGAGCACCGGGAGGGCAAGGGGAGCCGUGAAAAGACACGCGGCUGAGCCCGACCGAGCCCCCCCCCCCCCCCCCCGCGGCUAGUGCGCCAAAAGCAGGCAGAGGAAGCAAGAGGAAGGCCGCACAACUCCCCAGCGCCGGGGGAAGAGGAGGAGAGGGACGCCCGGCCACCCGGACGGCUAGUGCACCAGAAGCAGGCUGAACCCAGAGGGAAACCUGCUGGGAAAAGACCUCACCUUUUUCUAUUUUUUAUUCUUUAUUUCCUUUUUUAUACUAUUUUUUUCUUCUUUUUAAAUAUAUAUAAUUUUUUUAUAAUAUUAUAUUAUUACCAUUAACUCUAUCCUCUAUUUUUUAAUAUAUAAAACUUUCCCCCUUUCAUAUAUUUUAACCCCCUUUUUAACCCCCCCUUUUUUCCUUUCCCACUUCCCUAAGUCUUCAGCCCUUUCACUAAAUUACUAUUACUACCAUUACAUCCAUAUAUUACUUAAAAACACAUUUUCCAUCCCCCCCAAAAAGGGAGGGACUUUUUUGUUGCUGUUGUCCUCUUUCCUUCCCAAUAUUUUUUACUUUAUUUUUACCAGACAUAUAAAAAAACGCUGUAAAAAUGCUUUUUUACAAAAUGUUUUGAAAAAUACAUUGAAUUUGGCAUAGCUCACUGUUGCCACCUAGUGCCACAUUUGUAUACUACACUUUACAACACAUUUAAAACCUUUUAUUUGCAGCUGUGUAGCUGAGUCCCUGAUGAAGCCCUGAGGCCAGGAGCGCUGCUCUUCUAGCUUAGCUCCAGCCCUCAACAGGAGGACUUAUCUUACACAACACGGGAUACACCACGGGAAAGGAGCGUUUGAGAAACUCGCCAAAUCUUCCAGAGGGAGCAAGGGAGAUUAACAGUGGCACAACUGGCACCCUGCACAGACUGAGGACACAUUAUUCCGUUGCCAGAGGAGGAACCAUGUUGGUCUGCUGCUGCAGCAACGACAACCAUUCUCUUUGUGUCAUUAUUGAGAUCAAAUGAGCACUUUCACCACACACUUUUCGGAACUAGCUAAAAUAGUCUUGUUUAAGUAAGCCUACCCAGACAUUGAGAAUGUUGAGAUAAUUUUAAUCUGUUUUAAUAUUUUAGCUUUUGUAUGUUUUAAAGGAUGGC